AGAACGAACGCUGGCGGCAGGCUUAACACAUGCAAGUCGAACGGUUGUAGCAAUACAGCAGUGGCGCACGGGUGAGUAACGCGUGGGAACAUACCUUUCAGUUCGGAAUAACAGCGGGAAACUGCUGCUAAUACCGAAUAUUCUCUCCGGAGGAAAGAUUUAUCGCUGAAAGAUUGGCCCGCGUCAGAUUAGCUAGUUGGUGGGGUAAUGGCCUACCAAGGCUCCGAUCUGUAGCUGGUCUGAGAGGACGACCAGCCACACUGGAACUGAGACACGGUCCAGACUCCUACGGGAGGCAGCAGUGGGGAAUAUUGGACAAUGGGCGAAAGCCUGAUCCAGCCAUGCCGCGUGAAUGAUGAAGGCCUUAGGGUUGUAAAGUUCUUUUGUCAGGGAGAUAAUGACGGUACCUGAAGAAUAAGCACCAGCUAACUCGUGCCAGCAGCCGCGGU
This 449-nucleotide ribosomal RNA is filed under the name uncultured bacterium. Its description in RNAcentral is "SSU rRNA". It matches the Rfam family "Bacterial small subunit ribosomal RNA", at positions 26 to 521 of the family's 1533-position model. The record is from RNAcentral.